CAACACGAUAGAGGCGCGGAUGCGAAGGGUUUCGGGCCAGCCGGCAGGCGAUUAUCCCGAAGCGAGGCAAUUCCGCCGAAUCGUUGCGACAGGCAUGGCGCAACGGUGGGCUGUCGGGGAACACCCGUCAGACUGUCUGCAAAAUUGCAGGUGCGCUAUCUUGCUG
This 166-nucleotide non-coding RNA is filed under the name Slackia heliotrinireducens. Its description in RNAcentral is "Lysine sequence". It matches the Rfam family "Lysine riboswitch aptamer". From Rfam's summary of the family: Riboswitches are metabolite binding domains within certain messenger RNAs that serve as precision sensors for their corresponding targets. Lineage: Bacteria; Bacillati; Actinomycetota; Coriobacteriia; Eggerthellales; Eggerthellaceae. RNAcentral also lists the same sequence under 1 other name. The record is from RNAcentral.